This 932-nucleotide long non-coding RNA is filed under the name Gallus gallus (chicken). RNAcentral's name for it is "long non-coding RNA NONGGAT002189". Lineage: Eukaryota; Metazoa; Chordata; Aves; Galliformes; Phasianidae. The record is from RNAcentral.
CUUCUCUUCUCUUCUCUUCUCUUCUCUUCUCUUCUCUUCUCUUCUCUUCUCUUCUCUUCUCUUCUCUUCUCGUCCGGAUACAAAGCUUUUGGAGCUAUAUAAUGCUGUCUCAUUCUAAUGUAUUUCUUUGUUUUAUAUAACUAAUGUCUUGGCUCUGUCUUUGCCAUGAGGGAGCUUCUGAAUCUUGAGGGUUUGGGGGUCUUCAGCAAGCACUUUGUAUAAAUUAUAUCAACUCAAAGGAAACUUACAUCAAGCAGCGUGGAAAAGUCAUGAGACAUGGUGAACAUUACAGAGAAAACUUGUUCUUUAUAGCAGUGAACUGUUUUCAGAAGCGCACUGCACAAAGUUCUGCUGGGUGUAUUUUCCUUCUUGACCAUUUGCCAAGAGCAGAAGAUGAAGCAUUAGUGACGAUAGCGUUUCUACUAGUGACUGCUGGAAUCACUUGUGAACGACCAUGUUAACAAAUAAUUUUCACCCACCAAAAGGAACUGUGAAGCUGUUCACUCUCCCCACAAAAUCACCCAUCUGGCACAAAAAUUAAAACAUGGAAGUUUGCUUUAAUACAGUACUGACUAUGAACCAAAAUGGAGUACGAUCGCGGUAAAUGAGAUGCCUCACAGGUUCCCAGUGAUGAAGAGAAUAAGCCUGUAGCCUAGAACAGCCGUCCUUUUGCAUUAGCUUUGGAUUUUCCCAUGUACCAGUCAGGGAGUGCUAAAUUAAGCAUAAGGCUUUUUGGUAGCAAUCACUGUGCAACCUUUGCCUGGUGUUACAGUUUUGAGUACUACAGCAAAGAGCAAAAUGAGAGCAAAAGUCGGAUUUGGAAUCAAGUUUGUGCUAAGGUGCUUUCUGCAGCAGAGCUCAUCACUAUGCACUGAUGGUAGCAAAAUACAUCUACAGAGCCUUGUCCCAGGGUUUCACCAGGCUGUUCAUGU